CCCAUUUGUGUGUUGGAUCUUCCCUUGGGCUGGGUGACCUUGAGGCUUAACCCCAACCACAGCAUGCUAGCUGCUGUGCUAAGCUGCCUCAGCAGGGUCUGGUGCCUGCCAAGAUCUUCCUUUGGAUAUGCUGCUUUUGAAGGUUAUUGGAUCCUGCUCUGAUGUUGCCCAAAGCUGGCCACUAGGUGUGUUGAUUCUGGGCCUCUGGGAGGGACUCUGGUGCAGGCCAAUGUCAGGUGCUGCCUGUGACUUGCCCUGGACAAUUUGUUUGGAGCUAUAAAGUGACCUUCAGUUUUUGACAGCCUCUGCUGGGACUGCGUCUGUGAAGGAAGGACCAAGGUGUGCACCAAAGCUGGCUAUUACCAGCACCAGGCCAAAGGGUAAGUCAGCAAAAGUUCCAAAUUACCCUGAGAUUCACCUCCAGCUGCCGGCUGCCUUUUAGGCUAAAUCGCUGAAUGAGCCUCUGCCAGUAUUCAAGUUGCAUGAGACUACAAAUCAUCUCUAGGGAGUCAUUGGGGGAAAUAGAAUUCAAGUGCAUCACUCUUGGAAAAACUACUCAAGGUUGCUGUGACUCUUAAAAGAAGUAGGAACUCCUUGGAAGUUUUGCUAAAGUAGUUGAAGAGAGCAAAAACAAUCUAAUAUGCUGAACAUAAAGGCAAGCAUUGCUGUACCUCCUCACUACUCCAGCUGAGAGGGAAAGAGAGACAGAAACGUCAAUGACGAGAGAAAUAUCAUUGAACGGCUGCCUGCUGCACACCCCCUAUUGGGGAUCGAGCCCGCAACCCGGGCAUGUGCCCCAACUGGGAAUUGACCUGUGACUUCCUAGUUCAGAGGUUGACGCUCAACCACUGAGCCACACCUGCUGGGCACAUGCUGCUAAUUUUAAAUAUUUUGUCUCCUUGUCCUCAAAAGUCACCCAAAUGUCCCAGAAAUUCUAAUGUUUCUUUAAAUAGUGGAUAAAAUAAAAUACACAGGAGUCUCCUCAAAUCUUCUAUCAUAUCAUAUUUCCUUAUUUGGGAUUCAGAAAAUAUGACCCAUGUACCACUGUGCCACUUAGCCCCUCAGACAAGUCAUGGAGAUUUGAUGUCUAUUGUAUCUGUUCAAUUUCACCCUUCCCAGAUAAGCUGGCUUAUGUAGCAUUAAGUGAAGGGUAGGUUGGGUCAUAGUUCUGGCCAUUUGAUCAGAAGGACGCCUCAAACUGCAUGACAACUCCAGAUGCACAAUUUAGAAGACAGGGAAGGACAUUCCAUUUCUGUCCAGAGCUACAUGAUUGUCAUUUUAGAGACCCCCAAACAGCACAGCUGAGUUCUGAAGCUCCCAGGAUCUUCUCCCCAGUCGUGGGUAUUUAUGUGUCAUGAUGAUCCAUGAUGUCAAAUUCCAGUCUCUGGGGCAGUGUGAUUUACCCAAGUUGGUCUGACCCUGAGCCCUGCAGCUGGAGCAGCCUAGGGUAUCACCUGCCAGGCUGGCAUCCAUACCUUCUACAAACCAGGCCAGCGUUGAGGAUGACUCGAGACAGAAGCAGGGACUGCUGGCUCCUUCCAUAAAGUUUAUGUGGAACCAAAUUGUGUCUAUUGUGCAUUAGAACAUAGUGGUGAUCUGUGUGUGCUCACAAUAUCCUCGCCCCGUGCAGUGCCACAAAGUGCAAAAACGCCUCUUAAAGAGGAAAGAAUCAGGUUUGAUCAAUACAUUAUGCAAGACCUUCUCACAGUCAGUAAAUUAUUAAUUAAUAAGUUAAAGCUUUUCCUAAUGUGGAUGCAAUUUAAAAAGAUAAUUUUUUACUUAAACCAUAGUCCAAGAUUCAAAUAUUGAUUUCUUCCCUGGUAGUUAUAGGCCAAAAGUUUA
Myotis daubentonii (Daubenton's bat) is the source of this 1842-nucleotide long non-coding RNA. RefSeq lists it as uncharacterized. The record is from RefSeq and is a predicted model, not a curated record. Lineage: Eukaryota; Metazoa; Chordata; Mammalia; Chiroptera; Vespertilionidae.